UGGGGAAUUUUGGACAAUUGGGCGAAAGCCUGAUCCAGCAAUGCCGCGUGUGUGAAGAAGGCCUUCGGGUUGUAAAGCACUUUUGUCCGGAAAGAAAUCCUUGGCUCUAAUACAGUCGGGGGAUGACGGUACCGGAAGAAUAAGCACCGGCUAACUACGUGCCAGCAGCCGCGGUAAUACGUAGGGUGCAAGCGUUAAUCGGAAUUACUGGGCGUAAAGCGUGCGCAGGCGGUUUGCUAAGACCGAUGUGAAAUCCCCGGGCUCAACCUGGGAACUGCAUUGGUGACUGGCAGGCUAGAGUAUGGCAGAGGGGGGUAGAAUUCCACGUGUAGCAGUGAAAUGCGUAGAGAUGUGGAGGAAUACCGAUGGCGAAGGCAGCCCCCUGGGCCAAUACCGACGCUCAUGCACGAAAGCGUGGGGAGCAAACAGGAUUAGAUACCCUGGUAGUCCACGCCCUAAACGAUGUCAACUAGUUGUUGGGGAUUCAUUUCCUUAGUAACGUAGCUAACGCGUGAAGUUGACCGCCUGGGGAGUACGGUCGCAAGAUUAAAACUC
RNAcentral lists this ribosomal RNA (555 nucleotides) under uncultured bacterium. RNAcentral's name for it is "partial 16S ribosomal RNA". It matches the Rfam family "Bacterial small subunit ribosomal RNA", at positions 355 to 902 of the family's 1533-position model. The record is from RNAcentral.